Molecule: small nucleolar RNA, 75 nt
Organism: Hirundo rustica (Barn swallow)
Lineage: Eukaryota; Metazoa; Chordata; Aves; Passeriformes; Hirundinidae
Product: small nucleolar RNA SNORD47
Exons: 1
Source: RefSeq, a predicted model, not a curated record
AGCCACUGAUGAAACUGAUUCUGCCAGAUGAGUUGCUGUGAUAUUACCCUUUCCGUUCCUAUUAUGUCUGAGGUU